RNAcentral lists this transfer RNA (72 nucleotides) under Elusimicrobiota bacterium. RNAcentral's name for it is "Elusimicrobia bacterium (groundwater metagenome) tRNA-Lys". It matches the Rfam family "tRNA". Rfam says of the family: Transfer RNA (tRNA) molecules are approximately 80 nucleotides in length. Their secondary structure includes four short double-helical elements and three loops (D, anti-codon, and T loops). The record is from RNAcentral. Lineage: Bacteria; Pseudomonadati; Elusimicrobiota.
GGGCCAUUAGCUCAAUGGUAGAGCAGGCGCCUCUUAAGCGCAAGGUUAUAGGUUCGAGUCCUAUAUGGCCCA